UCCGUAGGCGGUUCUUUAAGUCAGUGGUGAAAUCCCAGAGCUCAACUCUGGAACUGCCAUUGAAACUGAAGAACUUGAAUAUGGUUGAGGUAGGCGGAAUACGUUAUGUAGCGGUGAAAUGCAUAGAUAUAACGUAGAACACCAAUUGCGAAGGCAGCUUACUAAACCAUUAUUGACGCUGAUGGACGAAAGCGUGGGGAGCGAACAGGAUUAGAUAACCUGGUAGUCC
RNAcentral lists this ribosomal RNA (229 nucleotides) under uncultured bacterium. RNAcentral's name for it is "partial 16S ribosomal RNA". It matches the Rfam family "Bacterial small subunit ribosomal RNA", at positions 568 to 796 of the family's 1533-position model. The record is from RNAcentral.